UACGGGGGGGGCAAGCGUUGUUCGGAAUUACUGGGCGUAAAGGGCGCGUAGGCGGUUUGUUAAGUUGGAUGUGAAAACUGUGGGCUUAACCCAUAGCCUGCAUCCAAAACUAGCAGGCUAGAGUUCUGGAGGGGAUAGCGGAAUUCCUGGUGUAGCGGUGAAAUGCGUAGAUAUCAGGAGGAACACCGGUGGCGAAGGCGGCUAUCUGGACAGAGUCUGACGCUGAGGCGCGAAAGCUAGGGGAGCAAACAGG
Molecule: ribosomal RNA, 253 nt
Filed under: uncultured bacterium
Lineage: Bacteria
Description: partial 16S ribosomal RNA
Rfam family: Bacterial small subunit ribosomal RNA
Source: RNAcentral